RNAcentral lists this ribosomal RNA (373 nucleotides) under uncultured organism. RNAcentral describes it as "partial 16S ribosomal RNA". It matches the Rfam family "Bacterial small subunit ribosomal RNA", at positions 527 to 896 of the family's 1533-position model. The record is from RNAcentral.
GUAGGUGGCAAGCGUUGUCCGGGAUUAUUGGGCGUAAAGCGCGCGCAGGCGGUUCUUUAAGUCUGAUGUGAAAGCCCACGGCUCAACCGUGGAGGGUCAUUGGAAACUGGAGAACUUGAGUACAGAAGAGGAAAGCGGAAUUCCACGUGUAGCGGUGAAAUGCGUAGAGAUGUGGAGGAACACCAGUGGCGAAGGCGGCUUUCUGGUCUGUAACUGACGCUGAGGCGCGAAAGCGUGGGGAGCAAACAGGGAUUAGAUACCCUGGUAGUCCACGCCGUAAACGAUGAGUGCUAAGUGUUAGGGGGUUUCCGCCCCCUUAGUGCUGCAGCUAACGCAUUAAGCACUCCGCCUGGGGAGUACGGCCGCAAGGCUG